UACGAAGGGGGCUAGCGUUGUUCGGAAUUACUGGGCGUAAAGGGCGCGUAGGCGGUGUGUCAAGUCAGGCGUGAAAGCCCCGGGCUCAACCCCGGAACUGCCUUUGAUACUGGCAUUCUCGAGUCCGGAAGAGGUGAGUGGAAUUCCGAGUGUAGAGGUGAAAUUCGUAGAUAUUCGGAGGAACACCAGUGGCGAAGGCGGCUCACUGGUCCGGUACUGACGCUGAGGUGCGAAAGCGUGGGGAGCAAACAGG
This 253-nucleotide ribosomal RNA is filed under the name uncultured bacterium. RNAcentral's name for it is "partial 16S ribosomal RNA". It matches the Rfam family "Bacterial small subunit ribosomal RNA", at positions 524 to 776 of the family's 1533-position model. The record is from RNAcentral.